GAUGAACGCUGGCGGCGUGCCUAAUACAUGCAAGUCGAGCGAACGGACGAGAAGCUUGCUUCUCUGAUGUUAGCGGCGGACGGGUGAGUAACACGUGGAUAACCUACCUAUAAGACUGGGAUAACUUCGGGAAACCGGAGCUAAUACCGGAUAAUAUUUUGAACCGCAUGGUUCAAAAGUGAAAGACGGUCUUGCUGCCACUUAUAGAUGGAUCCGCGCUGCAUUAGCUAGUUGGUAAGGUAACGGCUUACCAAGGCAACGAUGCAUAGCCGACCUGAGAGGGUGAUCGGCCACACUGGAACUGAGACACGGUCCAGACUCCUACGGGAGGCAGCAGUAGGGAAUCUUCCGCAAUGGGCGAAAGCCUGACGGAGCAACGCCGCGUGAGUGAUGAAGGUCUUCGGAUCGUAAAACUCUGUUAUUAGGGAAGAACAUAUGUGUAAGUAACUGUGCACAUCUUGACGGUACCUAAUCAGAAAGCCACGGCUAACCACGUG
RNAcentral lists this ribosomal RNA (497 nucleotides) under uncultured bacterium. RNAcentral's name for it is "partial 16S ribosomal RNA". It matches the Rfam family "Bacterial small subunit ribosomal RNA", at positions 28 to 507 of the family's 1533-position model. The record is from RNAcentral.